CCUACGGGCGGCAGCAGUAGGGAAUCUUUCACAAUGGGCGAAAGCCUGAUGGAGCAACGCCGCGUGCAGGAUGAAGGCCUUCGGGUUGUAAACUGCUUUUAUAAGCGAGAAAUAUGAUGGUAACUUAUGAAUAAGGAUCGGCUAACUACGUGCCAGCAGCCGCGGUCAUACGUAGGAUCCGAGCAUUAUCCGGAGUGACUGGGUGUAAAGAGUUGCGUAGGUGGCAUAAGAAGUAGCUAGUGAAAUCUGGUGGCUCAACCAUUCAGACUAUUAGCUAAACUGUUAAGCUCGAGACCGUUAGGGGUAACUGGAAUUUCUAGUGUAGGAGUGAAAUCCGUAGAUAUUAGAAGGAACACCAAUAGCGUAGGCAGGUUGCUGGGACGGUUCUGACACUAAGGCACGAAAGCGUAGGGAGCAAACGGGAUUAGAUACCCCAGUAGUC
RNAcentral lists this ribosomal RNA (442 nucleotides) under uncultured bacterium. Its description in RNAcentral is "partial 16S ribosomal RNA". It matches the Rfam family "Bacterial small subunit ribosomal RNA", at positions 338 to 795 of the family's 1533-position model. The record is from RNAcentral.